Molecule: ribosomal RNA, 1378 nt
Filed under: Salmonella enterica
Lineage: Bacteria; Pseudomonadati; Pseudomonadota; Gammaproteobacteria; Enterobacterales; Enterobacteriaceae
Also listed under: 6 other names
Description: bacterial LSU rRNA
Rfam family: Bacterial large subunit ribosomal RNA
Source: RNAcentral
ACGAGGCACUACGGUGCUGAAGCAACAAAUGCCCUGCUUCCAGGAAAAGCCUCUAAGCAUCAGGUAACAUCAAAUCGUACCCCAAACCGACACAGGUGGUCAGGUAGAGAAUACCAAGGCGCUUGAGAGAACUCGGGUGAAGGAACUAGGCAAAAUGGUGCCGUAACUUCGGGAGAAGGCACGCUGACACGUAGGUGAAGUGAUUUACUCAUGGAGCUGAAGUCAGUCGAAGAUACCAGCUGGCUGCAACUGUUUAUUAAAAACACAGCACUGUGCAAACACGAAAGUGGACGUAUACGGUGUGACGCCUGCCCGGUGCCGGAAGGUUAAUUGAUGGGGUCAGCGCAAGCGAAGCUCCUGAUCGAAGCCCCGGUAAACGGCGGCCGUAACUAUAACGGUCCUAAGGUAGCGAAAUUCCUUGUCGGGUAAGUUCCGACCUGCACGAAUGGCGUAAUGAUGGCCAGGCUGUCUCCACCCGAGACUCAGUGAAAUUGAACUCGCUGUGAAGAUGCAGUGUACCCGCGGCAAGACGGAAAGACCCCGUGAACCUUUACUAUAGCUUGACACUGAACAUUGAGCCUUGAUGUGUAGGAUAGGUGGGAGGCUUUGAAGUGUGGACGCCAGUCUGCAUGGAGCCGACCUUGAAAUACCACCCUUUAAUGUUUGAUGUUCUAACGUGGACCCGUUACCCGGGUUGCGGACAGUGUCUGGUGGGUAGUUUGACUGGGGCGGUCUCCUCCUAAAGAGUAACGGAGGAGCACGAAGGUUGGCUAAUCCUGGUCGGACAUCAGGAGGUUAGUGCAAUGGCAUAAGCCAGCUUGACUGCGAGCGUGACGGCGCGAGCAGGUGCGAAAGCAGGUCAUAGUGAUCCGGUGGUUCUGAAUGGAAGGGCCAUCGCUCAACGGAUAAAAGGUACUCCGGGGAUAACAGGCUGAUACCGCCCAAGAGUUCAUAUCGACGGCGGUGUUUGGCACCUCGAUGUCGGCUCAUCACAUCCUGGGGCUGAAGUAGGUCCCAAGGGUAUGGCUGUUCGCCAUUUAAAGUGGUACGCGAGCUGGGUUUAGAACGUCGUGAGACAGUUCGGUCCCUAUCUGCCGUGGGCGCUGGAGAACUGAGGGGGGCUGCUCCUAGUACGAGAGGACCGGAGUGGACGCAUCACUGGUGUUCGGGUUGUCAUGCCAAUGGCACUGCCCGGUAGCUAAAUGCGGAAGAGAUAAGUGCUGAAAGCAUCUAAGCACGAAACUUGCCCCGAGAUGAGUUCUCCCUGAGACUUAGAGUCUCCUGAAGGAACGUUGAAGACGACGACGUUGAUAGGCCGGGUGUGUAAGCGCAGCGAUGCGUUGAGCUAACCGGUACUAAUGAACCGUGAGGCUUAACC